This 1613-nucleotide ribosomal RNA is filed under the name human gut metagenome. RNAcentral's name for it is "bacterial LSU rRNA". It matches the Rfam family "Bacterial large subunit ribosomal RNA", at positions 867 to 2495 of the family's 2925-position model. The record is from RNAcentral.
UCUUUAGGGCUAGCGUCGAGAGAAGAGUUGCGUGAAGGUAGAGCACUGAAUAUGUGAUGGCCCCAUCUCGGGGUACUGAGCAUAAUCAAACUGCGAAUGUCACGCCAACAUGCUCGGCAGUCAGACAGCGGGUGAUAAGGUCCGUUGUCAAGAGGGAAACAGCCCAGACCAUCAGCUAAGGUCCCAAAAUGUAUGCUAAGUGGAAAAGGAUGUGGAGAUGCACAGACAACUAGGAGGUUGGCUUAGAAGCAGCCAUCCUUUAAAGAGUGCGUAACAGCUCACUAGUCGAAUGACUCUGCGCCGAUAAUUUACCGGGGCUAAGCAUACUACCGAAGCUAUGGAUCCCAAGGGAUGGUAGGGGAGCGUUCCAUGAACGGAGAAGUACGACCGAAAGGACGUGUGGAGAUCAUGGAAGAGAGAAUGCCGGUGUGAGUAGCGGAACGUGGGUGAGAAUCCCACGCACCGAAAACCCAAGGUUUCCAGAGGAAGGUUCGUCCGCUCUGGGUAAGUCGGGACCUAAGGCGAGGCCGAAAGGCGUAGUCGAUGGACAACAGGUAGAGAUUCCUGUACCCGUAUAUAUGUGAAGGAAUGACGGAGAGAGGAAGCUGCAGCCAGCGGCUGGAAGAGCUGGUGCAAGCGAGAUAUCGGGAUGGCAGGCAAAUCCACCAUCCGAAACGAGAAGGCGUGAAGCGUACGGAAAGCUACGGCGAGUACGGAAGGCAGUGGAGGAACUUCCAAGAAAAGUUUCUAACGUUAAGUAUAUAUGGCCCGUACCGAAAAUGGACACACAUGGGUGAGGAGAGAAUCCUAAGGUGAGCGAGAGAACUAUAGCUAAGGAACUCUGCAAAAUGACUCCGUAACUUAGGGAGAAGGAGUGCUCAUAGAGAUAUGAGCCGCAGUGAAACGGCCCAAGCGACUGUUUACCAAAAACACAGCUCUCUGCUAAGCCGCAAGGCGAAGUAUAGGGGGUGACGCCUGCCCGGUGCUGGAAGGUUAAGGGGAGGGGUUAACGCAAGUGAAGCCCUGAACUGAAGCCCCAGUAAACGGCGGCCGUAACUAUAACGGUCCUAAGGUAGCGAAAUUCCUUGUCAGGUAAGUUCUGACCCGCACGAAAGGCGUAACGAUUUGGGCGCUGUCUCAGCUGUAGACUCGGUGAAGUCUUAGUACCUGUGAAGAUGCAGGUUACCCGCGACUAGACGGAAAGACCCCAUGGAGCUUCACUGCAGGUUGAUAUUGGGAUUUGAUGCAGCAUGUACAGGAUAGGUAGGAGGCAAAGAGAUGGAUACGCCAGUAUUCAAGGAGCCGCUGUUGGGAUACUACCCCUGUUGUAUUGGAUUUCUAACCGGACGACGUAGAGCCGUUGACGGGACAGUGUCAGUCGGGCAGUUUGACUGGGGCGGUCGCCUCCCAAAGAGUAACGGAGGCGCCCAAAGAUACCCUCAGCUUGGAUGGAAACCAAGCGCAGAGUGCAAAGGCAAAAGGGUGUUUGACUGCGAGACCCACAAGUCGAGCAGGGACGAAAGUCGGGCUUAGUGAUCCGGCGGUGCUGAAUGGAAAGGCCGUCGCUCAACGGAUAAAAGCUACCCUGGGGAUAACAGGCUGAUCUCCCCCAA